GAUGAAGACGUAGCGAAAUGCGAUAAGUAAUGUGAAUUGCAGAAUUCAGUGAAUCAUCGAAUCUUUGAACGCACAUUGCGCCCCUUGGUAUUCCGAGGGGCAUGCCUGUUCGAGCGUCAUUAUAACCCCUCAAGCUCAGCUUGGUGUUGGGGCCUGCUGCACUGGCAGCCCUUAAAAUCAGUGGCGGCGCCAUCUGGCUCUAAGCGUAGUAAUUCUUCUCGCUAUGGAGUCCUGGUGGAUGCUUGCCAUCAACCCCCAAUUUUUCUAUGGUUGACCUCGGAUCAGGUAGGGCUACCCGCUGAACUUAAGCAUAUCAAUAAGCGGAGGA
Molecule: unclassified non-coding RNA, 328 nt
Filed under: soil metagenome
Description: partial contains 5.8S ribosomal RNA, internal transcribed spacer 2, and large subunit ribosomal RNA
Rfam family: 5.8S ribosomal RNA (bases 1-119)
Source: RNAcentral